CCCGCGCCGUAUUAGCUAGUUGGUGGGGUAACGGCCUACCAAGGCGACGAUACGUAGCCGACCUGAGAGGGUGAUCGGCCACACUGGAACUGAGACACGGUCCAGACUCCUACGGGAGGCAGCAGUAGGGAAUCUUCCGCAAUGGGCGAAAGCCUGACGGAGCAACGCCGCGUGAGUGAUGAAGGUCUUCGGAUCGUAAAGCUCUGUUGUUAGGGAAGAACAAAUGUGUAAGUAACUGUGCACAUCUUGACGGUACCUAACCAGAAAGCCACGGCUAACUACGUGCCAGCAGCCGCGGUAAUACGUAGGUGGCAAGCGUUAUCCGGAAUUAUUGGGCGUAAAGCGCGCGUAGGCGGUUUUUUAAGUCUGAUGUGAAAGCCCACGGCUCAACCGUGGAGGGUCAUUGGAAACUGGAAAACUUGAGUGCAGAAGAGGAAAGUGGAAUUCCAUGUGUAGCGGUGAAAUGCGCAGAGAUAUGGAGGAACACCAGUGGCGAAGGCGGCUUUCUGGUCUGCAACUGACGCUGAUGUGCGAAAGCGUGGGGAUCAAACAGGAUUAGAUACCCUGGUAGUCCACGCCGUAAACGAUGAGUGCUAAGUGUU
This 602-nucleotide ribosomal RNA is filed under the name Staphylococcus pseudintermedius. Its description in RNAcentral is "bacterial SSU rRNA". It matches the Rfam family "Bacterial small subunit ribosomal RNA", at positions 230 to 824 of the family's 1533-position model. Lineage: Bacteria; Bacillati; Bacillota; Bacilli; Caryophanales; Staphylococcaceae. The record is from RNAcentral.